Molecule: ribosomal RNA, 301 nt
Filed under: uncultured bacterium
Lineage: Bacteria
Description: partial 16S ribosomal RNA
Rfam family: Bacterial small subunit ribosomal RNA
Source: RNAcentral
CAGUAGCCGCGGGAAUACAGAGGGUGCGAGCGUUAAUCGGAUUUACUGGGCGUAAAGCGCACGUAGGCAGACAUUUAAGUCAGGGGUGAAAUCCCGGGGCUCAACCCCGGAACUGCCUUUGAUACUGGGUGUCUAGAGUAUGGAAGAGGUGAGUGGAAUUCCGAGUGUAGAGGUGAAAUUCGUAGAUAUUCGGAGGAACACCAGUGGCGAAGGCGGCUCACUGGUCCAUUACUGACGCUGAGGUGCGAAAGCGUGGGGAGCAAACAGGAUUAGAUACCCCCGUAGUCCCUGUCUCUAUACA